This 253-nucleotide ribosomal RNA is filed under the name uncultured bacterium. Its description in RNAcentral is "partial 16S ribosomal RNA". It matches the Rfam family "Bacterial small subunit ribosomal RNA", at positions 524 to 776 of the family's 1533-position model. The record is from RNAcentral.
UACGUAGGGUGCAAGCGUUGUCCGGAAUUAUUGGGCGUAAAGAGCUCGUAGGCGGUCUGUCGCGUCUGGUGUGAAAAUCCAGGGCUUAACCCUGGACCUGCAUCGGGUACGGGCAGACUAGAGUGCGGUAGGGGAGAUCGGAAUUCCUGGUGUAGCGGUGAAAUGCGCAGAUAUCAGGAGGAACACCGGUGGCGAAGGCGGAUCUCUGGGCCGUAACUGACGCUGAGGAGCGAAAGCCAGGGGAGCAAACGGG